GACGAACGCUGGCGGCGUGCUUAACACAUGCAAGUCGAACGGAAAGGCCCUGCUUUUGUGGGGUGCUCGAGUGGCGAACGGGUGAGUAACACGUGUGUAACCUGCCCUUGACUUUGGGAUAACUUCAGGAAACUGGGGCUAAUACCGGAUAGGAGCUCCUGCUGCAUGGUGGGGGUUGGAAAGUUUCGGCGGUUGGGGAUGGACUCGCGGCUUAGCAGCUUGUUGGUGGGGUAGUGGCUUACCAAGGCUUUGACGGGUAGCCGGCCUGAGAGGGUGACCGGCCACAUUGGGCCUGCGAUACGGCCCAGACUCCUACGGGAGGCAGCAGUGGGGAGUAUUGCACAAUGGGCGGAAGCCUGAUGCAGCAACGCCGCGUGCGGGAUGACGGCCUUCGGGUUGUAAACCGCUUUCGCCUGUGACGAAGCGGGAGUGACGGUAAUGGGUGAAGAAGCACCGGCUAACUACGUG
RNAcentral lists this ribosomal RNA (468 nucleotides) under uncultured bacterium. RNAcentral describes it as "partial 16S ribosomal RNA". It matches the Rfam family "Bacterial small subunit ribosomal RNA", at positions 28 to 507 of the family's 1533-position model. The record is from RNAcentral.